GCAUCUGUAGCUCAGGGGUAGAGCGGCGGUCUUGUAAACCGCAGGUCGCGUGUUCAAUUCGCGCCAGAUGCU
Molecule: transfer RNA, 72 nt
Filed under: Nanoarchaeales archaeon
Lineage: Archaea; Nanobdellati; Nanobdellota; Candidatus Nanoarchaeia; Nanoarchaeales
Description: tRNA-Thr
Rfam family: tRNA
About the family: Transfer RNA (tRNA) molecules are approximately 80 nucleotides in length. Their secondary structure includes four short double-helical elements and three loops (D, anti-codon, and T loops). Further hydrogen bonds mediate the characteristic L-shaped molecular structure. tRNAs have two regions of fundamental functional importance: the anti-codon, which is responsible for specific mRNA codon recognition, and the 3' end, to which the tRNAs corresponding amino acid is attached (by aminoacyl-tRNA synthetases). tRNAs cope with the degeneracy of the genetic code in two manners: having more than one tRNA (with a specific anti-codon) for a particular amino acid; and 'wobble' base-pairing, i.e. permitting non-standard base-pairing at the 3rd anti-codon position.
Source: RNAcentral